Molecule: small nuclear RNA, 127 nt
Filed under: Mus caroli (Ryukyu mouse)
Lineage: Eukaryota; Metazoa; Chordata; Mammalia; Rodentia; Muridae
Description: predicted gene, 25106 (MGP_CAROLIEiJ_G0034845.1)
Rfam family: U2 spliceosomal RNA
About the family: U2 is a small nuclear RNA (snRNA) component of the spliceosome (involved in pre-mRNA splicing).
Source: RNAcentral
AACGCUCCUCAGCCUUUCGCUAAGAUCAAGUGUAGUCUCUGUUCUUAUCAGUUUAAUAUCUGAUACGUCCUCUAUCCGAGGACAAUAUAUUAAAUGGACUUUUGGAGAGAGAGAAAGAGAGAGAGAG